AUCUUUCUCUCACUCCCAAAUUUUUUUAAAAAAAAAAAAUUCAAAAUUUAAUCUUAACAAAACCAAAGUACAAACAUUUCGGGCACAAGUCAGAAUCGGAAUCAAAAUAAACUGGAAUCAGAAUCGGAAUAAUUAAUUAACUAAUUCUGUUUGGUUCAUAACCUGAAUCGGAAUCAGAAUAAAUCAUUUUCAUUGCCGGUGUUUGGUUCAGAUAAAUAUAAAAAAUAUAAUCAAAUUAAUAUACCAACUUUAUCUUUAUAAUAUAUUAAUUUAAAUUCAAAUUAAAAAUUAAAUAUUAAAAAUUUACAUCAAAAUUUUGAAAUAAUGUCAAAUUUUAAAUGUAUUUUUUUAAAAAAAAUUAAACUUUGAAGUUGAGUGGAUAAUUCAAAAUAUAUAACUAAAUUUCGAUUUAUUCAAAUUCAAACUUAAAAUUAUAAUUUAUAUUUUAAUUUGAAUCCAUAAAUUUAAUUUAAAUUUUAAAUAAAAUUUGAAUAAAACUUUAUAUAAAUUAAAAUUUAAUUUAAAUUCAAAUUCAUAAGCUAGAUUUGAAAUACUUGGUUAAAUUUUAAUUUUUAAUUCAAGUUUAAAUUAAAUUUUAAUAUUAUAUAUUUAAUUUUUAAAUUUAAACUCAUAUUUUAAUUAAAAAAGUUGAAAAAAUAAAUUUAGUCUGAAUAAAUAUUCAUACUGUCCGGAUUCAACUUUCAAUCUACCCUCUUAGGCCAGAUUGGAAAAAAAUGUGAUUAGAAAAUUUUCAUUUCAUUCGGGAAUCGGAAUUGGAUUGAAACUCCCACGUAUCAAACACCCACAAACAAAUUCGCCUAUUCCAAUUUCGAUUCCAUUGCGAAAAAGAAGGAAACCAAACACUUCCUUUCUAUUUUGUUCUACA
RNAcentral lists this long non-coding RNA (886 nucleotides) under Ananas comosus (pineapple). RNAcentral's name for it is "long non-coding RNA (ACOM_LNC010812)". The record is from RNAcentral. Lineage: Eukaryota; Viridiplantae; Streptophyta; Magnoliopsida; Poales; Bromeliaceae.